RNAcentral lists this ribosomal RNA (603 nucleotides) under uncultured bacterium. Its description in RNAcentral is "bacterial SSU rRNA". It matches the Rfam family "Bacterial small subunit ribosomal RNA", at positions 202 to 805 of the family's 1533-position model. The record is from RNAcentral.
UAAAGGUAUUCCGGUAGACGAUGGGGAUGCGUUCCAUUAGAUAGUAGGCGGGGUAACGGCCCACCUAGUCUUCGAUGGAUAGGGGUUCUGAGAGGAAGGUCCCCCACAUUGGAACUGAGACACGGUCCAAACUCCUACGGGAGGCAGCAGUGAGGAAUAUUGGUCAAUGGGCGAGAGCCUGAACCAGCCAAGUAGCGUGGAGGAUGACUGCCCUAUGGGUUGUAAACUUCUUUUAUAAAGGAAUAAAGUCGGGUAUGGAUACCCGUUUGCAUGUACUUUAUGAAUAAGGAUCGGCUAACUCCGUGCCAGCAGCCGCGGUAAUACGGAGGAUCCGAGCGUUAUCCGGAUUUAUUGGGUUUAAAGGGAGCGUAGAUGGAUGUUUAAGUCAGUUGUGAAAGUUUGCGGCUCAACCGUAAAAUUGCAGUUGAUACUGGAUAUCUUGAGUGCAGUUGAGGCAGGCGGAAUUCGUGGUGUAGCGGUGAAAUGCUUAGAUAUCACGAAGAACUCCGAUUGCGAAGGCAGCCUGCUAAGCUGCAACUGACAUUGAGGCUCGAAAGUGUGGGUAUCAAACAGGAUUAGAUACCCUGGUAGUCCACACGGUAA